UACGGAGGAUGCAAGCGUUAUCCGGAAUGAUUGGGCGUAAAGCGUCCGCAGGUGGCAAUGUAAGUCUGCUGUCAAAGCGUCUGGCUCAACCAGAUAAAGGCAGUGGAAACUACAUAGCUAGAGUAAGGUAGGGGUAGAGGGAAUUCCUGGUGUAGCGGUGAAAUGCGUAGAGAUCAGGAAGAACACCGGUGGCGAAAGCGCUCUGCUGGACCUUAACUGACACUGAGGGACGAAAGCUAGGGGAGCGAAGGGG
This 253-nucleotide ribosomal RNA is filed under the name uncultured bacterium. RNAcentral describes it as "partial 16S ribosomal RNA". It matches the Rfam family "Bacterial small subunit ribosomal RNA", at positions 524 to 776 of the family's 1533-position model. The record is from RNAcentral.